GCCUGCCCAGUGAUAAUUAAACGGCCGCGGUAUCCUAACCGUGCAAAGGUAGCAUAAUCAUUUGUCUAUUAAUUGUAGACCCGUAUGAAAGGCAAAAUGAGGGUCCAACUGUCUCUUAUAAUACAUCAAUUAAACUGAUCUUCUAGUACAAAAGCUAGAAUACUAACAUAAGACCAGAAGACCCUGUGAAGCUUUAACUAAACUAUUAAACCACUUAAUAACUACUUUCGGUUGGGGCGACCUUGGAAUAAAAAAGAACUUCCAAAUAUCAACAUCACAUUAAAGGCAGACAAGCCCACAUAAGACCCAGCAUAGCUGACAAUUGAACCAAGUUACUCCAGGGAUAACAGCGCUAUCUUCUUCAAGAGCCCAUAUCAAAAAGAAGGUUUACGACCUCGAUGUUGGAUCAGGACAUCCUAGCAAUGCAACCGUUACUAAGGGUUCGUUUGUUCAACGAUUAAUAGUCCUACGUGAUCU
Molecule: ribosomal RNA, 477 nt
Filed under: Azemiops feae
Lineage: Eukaryota; Metazoa; Chordata; Lepidosauria; Squamata; Viperidae
Description: partial 16S ribosomal RNA
Rfam family: Bacterial large subunit ribosomal RNA
Source: RNAcentral